AUGGACGUCACACCACCACCGCAAGCACGAAGAGGACCGAUGACAAGAGCUCGCACACGCGCAAUCGAAACCGAGGUUAAUUCUUUCCUCUUUGAACUUCAUUCGGAUUCACACGAGAGUUGGAUUCUACCUCAAAUGGAAACAUUGUGCAUUCUUAGGUACUUCAGAGAUGAUCGCGAGGAAGCAUGGAAGGAACACCAAGUCCACCCGAAGGUUCAAGCACGCACGAGGUCUCCCGGGGAGGGAGAAGAGAGGAGUGGUCCAGACAAGGAAGACCGGAGGCCCCUGGACACUCCGGGUGCCUGGACGUGGACAUCCCCGGAUACCCGGUCCCCUAGCAGCCGGCCGCCCUCCCUCCUGGACGCACCGGGUGCUCGGCCCCGCUGCUGGGCACUACAGCCGCCGCCCCGGGUGCCCGGCCCCUGCGCUGGGAGCUGCUGCCUCCGCCCGGGUGCCCGGGCUUGGAACCCCCGGGUGCCCGGCCCCCCUCCAGCCGGCCCUCUGCCCAGUCCGGGUGCCCGGCCCUUGCUGCCCCAGGUGCCCGGCCUCACCUCUACGCCCGCCUCUGUCUGGUCCGGGUGCCCGGACCCCUCCGAAUGCGUGCGUGCAUUUUUCAGUUUUGACCCUUGUAUCCCCCUCUCCCUCACAAUUCGUCCCUAG
Molecule: ribosomal RNA, 660 nt
Filed under: Triticum aestivum (bread wheat)
Lineage: Eukaryota; Viridiplantae; Streptophyta; Magnoliopsida; Poales; Poaceae
Description: partial small subunit ribosomal RNA
Source: RNAcentral